GGGUCUAGCUGCGGCCACGGCCAGUACACGAUGGUACACGACACGCCCACCUGACACGACACUACGGUGGCUGAGAAGGGUCUAGCUACGGCCGCGAAAAGUUGUACUUCCAAAUAUGGUCAGAAGAGAGCACGCCCAACACGUGAGGUUUACAGACAACAAACAACAUGGCGCACCGAGUACAGACAAACAACACAACACUCCGUGAUGGAGCACGCCCAGAGCUCAACAAAUUGGACUCGGACACCUUCCAGUGUCCAUUUUGUGAAAGGACCGGGUCACACCCUGCUCUGAUGGCUCAUUUGCAGAGCCACCAGAGGUCGCUUGUGAAAUAUGGAGAUGCCCCUGGACACUGAUGAGGACCACUCCUAUAACAAGAGGCCUUACAGCUUCCUUCCUAAAGAGUCGGUUAGUGAAUGGACACAUUAAAGUGUACAACCCCUGAUGCAUGUGAUUUUAUAAUAUUACAUAUGACUUCUUUAUACCAUCUUGUCUUAUCAGUGAGAUGGAACUUUGUUCUCAUGACCUCGCCAAGAACAUGAGUGAGGAAGCGCACCAAAGGCUGAAGGACUUGUGAAAGAUUCCGAGGAGUUUAUUAUUUAUUCAAUAUUUUUUUAAGUUGACCAGCUCUGAUUUUCCAUUUGAUGUUCUGUUCAAUAAAUGUUCAUUGAGGAAAA
Molecule: long non-coding RNA, 677 nt
Organism: Gymnodraco acuticeps
Lineage: Eukaryota; Metazoa; Chordata; Actinopteri; Perciformes; Bathydraconidae
Exons: 3
Source: RefSeq, a predicted model, not a curated record